RNAcentral lists this ribosomal RNA (488 nucleotides) under Veillonella parvula. RNAcentral describes it as "bacterial SSU rRNA". It matches the Rfam family "Bacterial small subunit ribosomal RNA", at positions 28 to 485 of the family's 1533-position model. Lineage: Bacteria; Bacillati; Bacillota; Negativicutes; Veillonellales; Veillonellaceae. The record is from RNAcentral.
GACGAACGCUGGCGGCGUGCUUAACACAUGCAAGUCGAACGAAGAGCGAUGGAAGCUUGCUUCUAUCAAUCUUAGUGGCGAACGGGUGAGUAACGCGUAAUCAACCUGCCCUUCAGAGGGGGACAACAGUUGGAAACGACUGCUAAUACCGCAUACGAUCUAACCUCGGCAUCGAGGAAAGAUGAAAGGUGGCCUCUAUUUAUAAGCUAUCACUGAAGGAGGGGAUUGCGUCUGAUUAGCUAGUUGGAGGGGUAACGGCCCACCAAGGCGAUGAUCAGUAGCCGGUCUGAGAGGAUGAACGGCCACAUUGGGACUGAGACACGGCCCAGACUCCUACGGGAGGCAGCAGUGGGGAAUCUUCCGCAAUGGACGAAAGUCUGACGGAGCAACGCCGCGUGAGUGAUGACGGCCUUCGGGUUGUAAAGCUCUGUUAAUCGGGACGAAAGGCCUUCUUGCGAACAGUUAGAAGGAUUGACGGUACCGGAAUA